Molecule: long non-coding RNA, 1359 nt
Organism: Gossypium raimondii (Peruvian cotton)
Lineage: Eukaryota; Viridiplantae; Streptophyta; Magnoliopsida; Malvales; Malvaceae
Exons: 2
Source: RefSeq, a predicted model, not a curated record
UUAGCCUUUACCCCUUUAUAUAUAGGAUUCCACGUCAGUUAAUGUCAUGAUUUAGACCGUGGUGUGUUCUGUCAUCAAAACUUUUGAUUGAUUUAAUGACAAUUAGGUAAUUGAAUUAUAUAACUUUACCAAAACACAUAAACCAUGAGUUAAUUAGGGUGAGGAUGAAUAAUCAUCAGUAGUUUUUGUACUCUCAAAGAGACUUAAGUGGGUUGACCCGUUCUUUUUAUUCAGAUUAUUGAGUAGUAGAAAGAUUAACCUAUUCUAAUAUGAGUUUUAACUGUUAGUCUAACUUGUUUUAAGGUCCCACUAGUCCCUAUUCCUCUAAUUAAUUUAUACGUGCUAGUCAUAUUAUUAAGGGGCAAGAAGUCGGUGUCAAUAGCUGUAAGGACGGACCAAAAACCUCCAUUAGAUAAUCCUCUCUGUGAAACAGCACAAGAAGAAGGAGAAAGUUGCAUUAAAUUUUAUAUAUAUAGAUCGUAGAGGCGAGUCACGAGUGAUUUGGUACCUCAAAACAUGCAUGCCUCGUGUACCUUCCUUUGCCAAAUCUAUAGCUUCUUUCUGUCUUCCCUAGUUUCCUUCCUAGCAAAGGCGAAACCCCUUGUUGUUUUUCAGGCAUGUUGGUUUGAGAGGUUGAAGCUGCCAGCAUGAUCUGGUAAUGAAUUUAGACAUCACUCUUUUCUUUUCCUUCUUUAUGUGAUAUUCUUUAACCAGUCUUGAUAUAGAUGUAGUGUGUAGCGGAGGUGAGAGAUACCCGCAGUUAAGUAGAUUGUAUAGGACCAGUUUGGAUCAAAAUUCUCUGGUGGAAGAGGAGUUAUUUAUGUGCUGAAAGCAUUUUGAGGAUAGGGGUAUUGUCAUUAAUUUGUUAAGGGAAUUAAUUUAGAUGUCUUAAGUAAAGAAUCCUGCUUGGACUUAGCUUCAUAGAUAUGGUUCAGCAUCAGGUCAUCUUGCAGCUUCAAUCACUCACUCCCCAACAAAAAUAACUUUCCAGCUACUUAAGGAUACUUCAGAUUUCUCUCUUUCUCUCUCUCAACCCACAAGGGUGUAAUUUGGGGCUAAAUAGAAUAAAAAGAAAACAAUUGGGCUAGAUUGAAGAAAGGAGCAAAGAAGGCGGGCCAAAACAAAAUUUUUCCAAGAUGUAAUUAGCUGAAAUUUUAUUUUGACUUAGUGGGAGAUUAUGUAGGGAUUUUUGAUAUCAUGGGAAUAUUUUUCCUUAAUUUUCUAUGGCUAGUGGCCUUUAAUUAGGCAAAUUUGUUCAAGGCCACUAGUAUAAAUAGGGGCUACUAUGUUCAUUCAUUUAUCAAGUUUUCAACCAAGCUUUCAUCUCUUGAAUUCAAUCUUUUCUUUUCUUUUUGGAAA